RNAcentral lists this long non-coding RNA (984 nucleotides) under Homo sapiens (human). RNAcentral's name for it is "non-protein coding lnc-DENND6B-1:5". Lineage: Eukaryota; Metazoa; Chordata; Mammalia; Primates; Hominidae. The record is from RNAcentral.
GCACGCACAUGCACACACACCACAUACACAAACACACCACACAUACCCCCCACACACACUAUACCCACACAACAUACACACCCUACACAGCACACACACCCACACACACCACACACAUCACACACACAUGCACACACCCCACACACCACACACACUACACCACACAGACCACACACACCACACACCACACAUACACCACACACAGACACACCAACACACCACACACACCCCACACACACACUGUACCCAGAUAGCACACAUGCCCCACACAGCACACACACACCCACACACACACCAUACACAUCGUGCACACUCCACAUACCACACACACUACAUACCACACAGUACACAUAUACCACACCGCACACACACCACACCACAUAUGGCACACACACACACACCACACACACCACACACACACUAUACCCACACAGCACACAUACCGCACACAGCACACACACCCCCAACACACCACACAUCGCACACACACUACACAGACACACAGACCCCACACACACCACACAUCGCACACACUAUACACACACGCACACACCCCACACACCGCACACACACCACACAUCGCAGACAAACACUACACACACUACAUACCACACACACCACACACGUACCGCACACACACACCCCACACACACCACACAUCGCACACACACACUACACACACACACCCCCCACACAGCACACACACACCCACACACCACACAUCGCAGACACACACACCACACACACAUGCAGGCGCACACACACACCCCCACAUACCACACACCACACAUGUACCACACACACUGCACACACACCACACACACACACCAAUACACCACACACAUACCCCACACACACUAUACCCACACAGCACACACGCACACACCCCACACACACCACACAUCGCACACACACACUGUACACACAGACACACCACACACACACACACACACACACUCUCUUCAUCACCACCUUCCCUGCUUG